This 451-nucleotide ribosomal RNA is filed under the name uncultured bacterium. RNAcentral's name for it is "bacterial SSU rRNA". It matches the Rfam family "Bacterial small subunit ribosomal RNA", at positions 340 to 779 of the family's 1533-position model. The record is from RNAcentral.
UACGGAAGGCAGCAGUGGGGAAUAUUGCACAAUGGGCGAAAGCCUGAUGCAGCUAUGCCGCGUGUAUGAAGAAGGCCUUAGGGUUGUAAAGUACUUUCAUCGGGGAGGAAAAACAAAACUAAUAAUUUUAUUUCUUGACGUUACCCGAAAAAGAAGCACCGGCUAACUCCGUGCCAGCAGCCGCGGUAAUACGGAGGGUGCUAGCGUUAAUCAGAAUUACUGGGCGUAAAGAGCACGUAGGUGGUUUUUUUAAAGUCAGAUCGUGAAAUCCCUGGGCUUAACCUAGGAACUGCAUUUUGAAACUGAAAUACUAGAGUAUCGUAGAGGGAGGUAGAAUUCUAGGUGUAGCGGUGAAAUGCGUAGAUAUCUGGAGGAAUACCUGUGGCGAAAGCGGCCUCCUAAACGAAUACUGACACUGAGGGUGCGAAAGCGUGGGGAGCAAACAGGGAUU